RNAcentral lists this unclassified non-coding RNA (782 nucleotides) under Caenorhabditis elegans. RNAcentral describes it as "Non-coding transcript of protein-coding gene srh-271". Lineage: Eukaryota; Metazoa; Nematoda; Chromadorea; Rhabditida; Rhabditidae. The record is from RNAcentral.
UGCUCGCUGGAUUUCCGUGUGGAGUUUUGAAAGAAUUCGGGAUUCCUACGCCAGCACAAAUUUUCAUAGUUGUGGUGCUAUUUGCGUUCGUCGGAGUCGCCAUACUCGGCAUUUUCGAAAACCGGUUCUACAUCAUGUUUGCUGAAAAUACUUUCUGGAAAUUUGUAAGAGUUUCCUAUUUCGCUUUCAACUACAUUCUGGCAUUAUUAUUUUUUAUUCCUCCAUAUCUGCGUAUACCGGAUCAAGACCUGGCGUUACAGCAAAUUUACAAGGAGCUCCCAUCAAAUCUCCCAAAUUGGAUUACAAAAGCAGACGUAUUUGUUCUAGCAACCGACAUAACCUAUUCAUUAUUAUCAGUGUUCCUCGUUGUGAUAUUCAUUAUAUCAGAGAUCUUGUUCUUCAUAUUCUACGUCAAAAUUCAAAUGAAAUGCUUGGCUAGAACGUUGAAACUGUCCAAGACCACUUUGAAGAUGCAACAGAAGUUUCUGGAUGCCAUUCAUUUUCAGAUGUACACCCCAUUGAUAAUUCUGGUAAUCCCAUUAGCAUACAUCGGAUACGCUAUAUAUUUUGAUUUCUACAACCAAGCUGCAAACAACAUUUCUUUCAUAAUUAUCACUUUUCAUGGGCUUGCCUCGACUAUUAUUAUGCUACUGAUACACAAACCGUAUCGGGAAGUUUGUGUGAACAUGUUCUGCUUCAAAAUUCUGAACAAAACUACUCCAGCCGGACAUACGAGGCUCAAUAGUCUUGUGACAAUUUUGCCGGUGCGAUCAAGAAUUUAA